This 295-nucleotide long non-coding RNA is filed under the name Paramuricea clavata. Lineage: Eukaryota; Metazoa; Cnidaria; Anthozoa; Malacalcyonacea; Plexauridae. The record is from RNAcentral.
GUUUUAAUAGAGAGUUUAAGUUCGACUUCCAAUACCAAUACCGAUACCGAUUUUUUCACUUCCGUUCUCAUUUUGGUACCGGGAAUUUUAAAGCGUUAAGUUAUCACGACAGAUAAAGUAUAGAACACAUUAAACGUCACCGAAAAUGUGCGGUAUACUAAACGGCAGCUGAGCUAAAAUUCCGACUAAAACAUGACUCAGGCGAUGCUAAUAAACAAAUAGUUUACAUGUUUAUCGUAAAAAUUAUGAAAUAUCCGAUUUAUAUGAGUUUAUCUUACAAUUCCCCCGACUUCCA